CUACGGGUUGCAGCAGUGAGGAAUAUUGCACAAUGGGGGAAACCCUGAUGCAGCAACGCCGCGUGGAGGAUGACGCAUUUCGGUGUGUAAACUCCUUUUAUAUGUCAAGAAAAUGACGGUAGCAUAUGAAUAAGCACCGGCUACUCCGUGCCAGCAGCCGCGGUAAUACGGAGGGUGCAAGCGUUACGCGGAAUCACUGGGCGUAAAGGACGCGUAGGCUGGUUGGUAAGUCAGGUGUGAAAUCCUACAGCUUAACUGUAGAACUGCACUUGAAACUACCAACCUAGAGUAUGGGAGGGGGAGAUGGAAUUAGUGGUGUAGGGGUAAAAUCCGUAGAUAUCACUAGGAAUACCGAAAGCGAAGGCGAUCUCCUGGAACAUAACUGACGCUAAGGCGUGAAAGCGUGGGGAGCAAACAGGAUUAGAUACCCGGGUAGUC
This 438-nucleotide ribosomal RNA is filed under the name uncultured bacterium. Its description in RNAcentral is "partial 16S ribosomal RNA". It matches the Rfam family "Bacterial small subunit ribosomal RNA", at positions 339 to 795 of the family's 1533-position model. The record is from RNAcentral.